UACCCUGUAGAUCCGAAUUUGUGUAAGGAGUUUCGUGGUCACAAAUUCGUAUCUAGGGGAAUA
Molecule: microRNA precursor, 63 nt
Filed under: Ornithorhynchus anatinus (platypus)
Lineage: Eukaryota; Metazoa; Chordata; Mammalia; Monotremata; Ornithorhynchidae
Description: Oan-Mir-10-P1c-v1_pre stem-loop
Rfam family: mir-10 microRNA precursor family
About the family: In this case the mature sequence comes from the 5' arm of the precursor. The extents of the hairpin precursors are not generally known and are estimated based on hairpin prediction.
Source: RNAcentral